AGAGUUUGAUCCUGGCUCAGAAUCAACGCUGGCGGCGUGCCUAACACAUGCAAGUCGAACGCGAAAGUGGAGCAAUCCAUGAGUAGAGUGGCAAACGGGUGAGUAACGCGUGGGCGACCUACCUCAGAGUGGGGGAUAACCUUCCGAAAGGAGGGCUAAUACCGCAUGACAUACCGUGUUUGGAUACACGGAUAUCAAAGCCGGGGAUCGCAAGACCUGGCGCUUGGAGAGGGGCCCGCGUCCGAUUAGCUAGUUGGUGAGGUAACGGCUCACCAAGGCUCCGAUCGGUAUCCGGCCUGAGAGGGCGGACGGACACACUGGAACUGAGACACGGUCCAGACUCCUACGGGAGGCAGCAGUGGGGAAUUGUUCGCAAUGGGCGCAAGCCUGACGACGCAACGCCGCGUGGAGGAUGAAGACUUUCGGGUCGUAAACUCCUUUCGACCGAGAUGAAUUUCCCACGACCUAACACGUCGUGGGAGUGACAGUAUCGAGGGAAGAAGCCCCGGCUAACUCCGUGCCAGCAGCCGCGGUAAUUC
RNAcentral lists this ribosomal RNA (539 nucleotides) under uncultured bacterium. RNAcentral describes it as "bacterial SSU rRNA". It matches the Rfam family "Bacterial small subunit ribosomal RNA", at positions 8 to 526 of the family's 1533-position model. The record is from RNAcentral.